UACGAAGGGGGCUAGCGUUGCUCGGAAUCACUGGGCGUAAAGCGCACGUAGGCGGAUUGUUAAGUCAGGGGUGAAAUCCUGGAGCUCAACUCCAGAAUUGCCUUUGAUACUGGCGAUCUCGAGUCCGGGAGAGGUGAGUGGAACUGCGAGUGUAGAGGUGAAAUUCGUAGAUAUUCGCAAGAACACCAGUGGCGAAGGCGGCUCACUGGCCCGGUACUGACGCUGAGGUGCGAAAGCGUGGGGAGCAAACAGG
Molecule: ribosomal RNA, 253 nt
Filed under: uncultured bacterium
Lineage: Bacteria
Description: partial 16S ribosomal RNA
Rfam family: Bacterial small subunit ribosomal RNA
Source: RNAcentral